Vicia villosa (hairy vetch) is the source of this 107-nucleotide small nucleolar RNA. Lineage: Eukaryota; Viridiplantae; Streptophyta; Magnoliopsida; Fabales; Fabaceae. The record is from RefSeq and is a predicted model, not a curated record.
AAUCCAUGGUGUGGGCAGUCUCUUAAUAAAUCUUUGUAUCUUUCCCAAGCAUCGAAAAUGGAUUCACUAUCUUGUUGGGUGAAUCUAGUUAUUUGGUUUCGAAGGAC